UUUUUUCUCCAAACCACGCUCUCACUGCCUCCUACUCCAUUUUAGGGUUUUUGAGGUAAUUAUUGAAGAUGUCACGUGUGUAUGUUGGUAAUCUGGAUCCAAGGGUUAGUGAAAGAGAAAUUGAGGACGAAUUCCGCACUUUUGGUGUCAUUCGAAGUGUCUGGGUUGCAAGAAGACCUCCGGGAUAUGCUUUUGUUGAUUUCGAUGACAAAAGAGAUGCUCAAGACGCCAUCCGCGAACUUGAUGGUAAGAAUGGUUGGAGAGUAGAAAUGUCUCAUAACUCUAGAGGAGGCGGUGGUGGAGGUGGAGGCCGUGGAGGAGGUCGUGGUCGCUCUGGUGGUUCUGAUCUGAAGUGCUACGAGUGUGGUGAACCUGGUCAUUUUGCUCGUGAGUGCCGUGGUGGUGGUGGUGGUGGUGGUGGUGGAGGUGGCGGUAGACGUCGCAGUCGUAGCCGAAGCCCCAGAUAUCGCAGGAGCCCUAGCUAUGGUCGGAGGAGCUACAGUCCCCGUGGAGGCCGCUCACCGCCUCGCCGUAGUGCUUCACCACCUCGCAGAAAUAACUAUAGCAGGUCACCACCAUAUCGUGGACGAGAGGAGUUGCCAUAUGCAAACGGAAACGGGCUUAAGGAUCGGCGUCGUAGCAGGAGCUGAUGAUUAUGGAGAUGGAAGGGUUUCAAGUGUCUGGAAUUUGUUAUCUGUGCUGACUUGUUUUCAACUUUAUCUGCAUGAAUUUGGUUAAGGUGUUAUGCUUCUUCAUUGGUUUUCUGCUUCGGCUUCGUUUUCUCUGCUCUGCUUUGCUCUGGGAUCAUCAUUUGAAUGAUUGUGGGUCCCAGCUGCUGACCAAAAUAGAGUCGUUUUUCUUAACGGCAUCAAAAAGGAAUGACGUAGCAGUCUCUUCUUGCCUUUAAAUCUUUGCUGCAAAGUGCUAUUCACUCUUUCGGUCUAUAAAGAUAUAUAGUUGUUGUGGUUACACUACUACUGCUUACAAUAAAUACUGCUUGCGGAGGCUUCUUGUGGGCCCACAUAGACCCCGGUAAGCCCUACAUGCUAUGUGUAGAGAAAAGGGUCUUCCAUGAUCAGUAUUCAUUGUGAAUAACCGCAGUCAUCUCGGUCACAUUUGAAUCCUUAGAAGAUCGGCAGGAAAGAGUUUUGCAUUUAGUUUGGUUUUAUUUAUAGUACAUGGAUUAUUGCAGUUUUAGAUGGCUCCUCAUUCUUUCUGCAGAUGUGAAUAGAUCCCUUAACAUGCUUUUUGCUUUCUCAAAUCCAUCAAAGAACCAGUUUUUAUCAUAUUCUAACACCAUUCAUAAUGAAUGUAGUGUUGGUGAAUUCAACCUGUUAUGUUUGGACUACUGCUUACGCCCCUAUUCAGCUGCUGAAUGGAUCA
Molecule: RNA transcript, 1383 nt
Organism: Cynara cardunculus var. scolymus (artichoke)
Lineage: Eukaryota; Viridiplantae; Streptophyta; Magnoliopsida; Asterales; Asteraceae
Gene name: serine/arginine-rich splicing factor RSZ22A-like
Exons: 8
Source: RefSeq, a predicted model, not a curated record